UGGCGAACGGGUGAGUAACACGUGGGUAAUCUGCCCUGCACUCUGGGAUAAGCCUGGGAAACUGGGUCUAAUACUGGAUAUGACCUUUCUCCUUAUGGGGUUUGGUGGGAAGUUUUUCGGUGUAGGAUGAGCCCGCGGCCUAUCAGCUUGUUGGUGGGGUGAUGGCCUACCAAGGCGACGACGGGUAGCCGGCCUGAGAGGGUGAUCGGCCACAUUGGGACUGAGAUACGGCCCAG
This 236-nucleotide ribosomal RNA is filed under the name uncultured Actinomycetales bacterium. RNAcentral describes it as "partial 16S ribosomal RNA". It matches the Rfam family "Bacterial small subunit ribosomal RNA", at positions 96 to 334 of the family's 1533-position model. The record is from RNAcentral. Lineage: Bacteria; Bacillati; Actinomycetota; Actinomycetes; Actinomycetales.